UUAGAGUUUGAUCCUGGCUCAGAUUGAACGCUGGCGGCAGGCCUAACACAUGCAAGUCGAACGGUAACAUUUCUAGCUUGCUAGAAGAUGACGAGUGGCGGACGGGUGAGUAAUGCUUGGGAACUUGCCUUUGCGAGGGGGAUAACAGUUGGAAACGACUGCUAAUACCGCAUAAUGUCUUCGGACCAAACGGGGCUUAGGCUCCGGCGCAAAGAGAGGCCCAAGUGAGAUUAGCUAGUUGGUAAGGUAAUGGCUUACCAAGGCGACGAUCUCUAGCUGUUCUGAGAGGAAGAUCAGCCACACUGGGACUGAGACACGGCCCAGACUCCUACGGGAGGCAGCAGUGGGGAAUAUUGCACAAUGGGGGAAACCCUGAUGCAGCCAUGCCGCGUGUGUGAAGAAGGCCUUCGGGUUGUAAAGCACUUUCAGUUGUGAGGAAAAGUUAGUAGUUAAUACCUGCUAGCCGUGACGUUAACAACAGAAGAAGCACCGGCUAACUCCGUGCCAGCAGCCGCGGUAAUACGGAGGGUGCGAGCGUUAAUCGGAAUUACUGGGCGUAAAGCGCACGCAGGCGGUUUGUUAAGCUAGAUGUGAAAGCCUCGGGCUCAACCUGGGAUGGUCAUUUAGAACUGGCAGACUAGAGUCUUGGAGAGGGGAGUGGAAUUCCAGGUGUAGCGGUGAAAUGCGUAGAUAUCUGGAGGAACAUCAGUGGCGAAGGCGACUCCCUGGCCAAAGGCUGACGCUCAUGUGCGAAAGUGUGGGUAGCGAACAGGAUUAGAUACCCUGGUAGUCCACACCGUAAACGCUGUCUACUAGCUGUGUGUGCCUUUAAGGCGUGCGUAGCGAAGCUAACGCGCUAAGUAGACCGCCUGGGGAGUACGGCCGCAAGGUUAAAACUCAAAUGAAUUGACGGGGGCCCGCACAAGCGGUGGAA
This 934-nucleotide ribosomal RNA is filed under the name uncultured bacterium. RNAcentral describes it as "bacterial SSU rRNA". It matches the Rfam family "Bacterial small subunit ribosomal RNA", at positions 1 to 937 of the family's 1533-position model. The record is from RNAcentral.